CCCAGACUCCUACGGGAGGCAGCAGUGGGGGAUAUUGCACAAUGGGGGAAACCCUGAUGCAGCGACGCCGCGUGGGUGAAGAAGCGCCUCGGCGCGUAAAGCCCUGUCAGCAGGGAAGAAAAUGACGGUACCUGAAGAAGAAGCUCCGGCUAACUACGUGCCAGCAGCCGCGGUAAUACGUAGGGAGCGAGCGUUAUCCGGAAUUAUUGGGUGUAAAGGGUGCGUAGACGGGAAAACAAGUUAGUUGUGAAAUCCCUCGGCUUAACUGAGGAACUGCAACUAAAACUAUUUUUCUUGAGUGCAGGAGAGGUAAGUGGAAUUCCUAGUGUAGCGGUGAAAUGCGUAGAUAUUAGGAGGAACACCAGUGGCGAAGGCGACUUACUGGACUGUAACUGACGUUGAGGCACGAAAGUGUGGGGAGCACACAGGAUUAGAUACCCGAGUAU
Molecule: ribosomal RNA, 446 nt
Filed under: uncultured bacterium
Lineage: Bacteria
Description: bacterial SSU rRNA
Rfam family: Bacterial small subunit ribosomal RNA
Source: RNAcentral